Long non-coding RNA from Alexandromys fortis (reed vole), 909 nucleotides. RefSeq lists it as uncharacterized. NCBI's taxonomy places the organism in Eukaryota, Metazoa, Chordata, Mammalia, Rodentia, Cricetidae. The record is from RefSeq and is a predicted model, not a curated record. The transcript has 3 exons.
AUUCUCCACCAGGCUUACAUUCUUUAGUGAGUCUCCAUGACACAGAAAGAGCCAAAAGUCCACCUUUACUCGCUGAGUGCCCUUUGCUCUACUAGGUUGCUUUUGUUGCUGGCGAGCAGUACUGUGACGAAGAGUAACUUCAUCGCAGCUUUCCCUUCUGCAUUACCGUCUAGCAUCAAGGGAAGUCAGGGCAGGAGGUCGAGCACAAGCAGAGGGUAGCCAUGGAGGAAAGCUGCUUCCUGACUUGUUCAGCAUCUCUUCUUGUACAGCCUAGGCCUACCUGCCUCGUGAUGGUGUGGCCCACAGUGGGCCAGGCCCUCCCACGUUAAUCAGCAAUCAAGAAAAUGCUAGAGAGACAUGCCACCAGGCCAGUCUGGUGGAGGCAAAUCCUCUUCCCAGGUAUGUCUAGAUUUGUGUUGAGUCAACAGAAACUAACUAUGAUACUCCAUCAUUUUGGCCUUGGAUGGAGAGCUCCCUGGAUGCCGGCUACAGCAUCUGGGGGCUCAGAGCACCCUGUUCCUGAAAUGGGAUGGAAACUCAGCGAAUAUAUUCAGAGAAUGAACAAUGCAUGUGUGCAUCUUACAGCUGAACAGCCUUCCUUGCAGCUGGUUGUGACCCUGUGAGCAAGUUGUAGCCAACAGGAUGUACCAAUGAAUAAGUCUAGUGCCUAGAACAUGAACCAUCUUGGAUAUGCACAUGAUGAUGAAGCUCAUGAAUGGAAAAAGGAGCCUGGAAUCACAUCCUGCCCACGACGCGAGGCUAUCAAAGCAGUUCAGACUUCAUGGUCAUUAUCAGUCAACUUCUGCUUUGGUUAAGUGACUAGCUUUUGAGGUUUCCAGUAUAUCUGGAGAUAGCUAAACCCUAAUAAUUUCAUUCAUUUAUCCCUCUGACGAAAAUAAAAUAAAAGGA